UGUAUUGGAAUGAUAGAAAUUUAAACCCUUUUUAAGUAUCAUUGGAGGGCAAGUCUGGUGCCAGCAGCCGCGGUAAUUCCAGCUCCAAUAGCGUAUAUUAAAAUUGUUGCAGUUAAAAAGCUCGUAGUUGAAGUUCUGCUAAAAGUACCGGUCUGCUUUUAAUAAAGGUGGUAUCUUGGUGUGUAUUUAGCAAUGAUGUCCUUUGAAGUGUUUUUUACUUUAUUGUAAUAAAGCAUAUUCAGGACUUUUACUUUGAGAAAAUUAGAGUGUUUCUAGCAGGCUAACGCUUUGAAUACUGCAGCAUGGAAUAAUAAGAUAGGAUUUUAGUUCUACAUUAUUGGUUUUAAGAGCUAAAUUAAUGAUUGAUAGGGACAGUUGGGGGCAUUUGUAUUUAACUGUCAGAGGUGAAAUUCUUAGAUUUGUUAAAGACAAACUACUGCGAAAGCAUUUGCCAAAGAUGUUUUCAUUAAUCAAGAACGAAAGUUAGGGGAUCGAAGACGAUCAGAUACCGUCGUAGUCUUAACUAUAAACUAUGCCGA
Molecule: ribosomal RNA, 539 nt
Filed under: Hepatozoon canis
Lineage: Eukaryota; Apicomplexa; Hepatozoidae
Description: SSU rRNA
Rfam family: Eukaryotic small subunit ribosomal RNA
Source: RNAcentral